GACGAACGCUGGCGGCGUGCUUAACACAUGCAAGUCGAACGGAAAGGCCCUGCUUUUGUGGGGUGCUCGAGUGGCGAACGGGUGAGUAACACGUGAGUAACCUGCCCUUGACUUUGGGAUAACUUCAGGAAACUGGGGCUAAUACCGGAUAGGAGCUCCUGCUGCAUGGUGGGGGUUGGAAAGUUUCGGCGGUUGGGGAUGGACUCGCGGCUUAUCAGCUUGUUGGUGGGGUAGUGGCUUACCAAGGCUUUGACGGGUAGCCGGCCUGAGAGGGUGACCGGCCACAUUGGGACUGAGAUACGGCCCAGACUCCUACGGGAGGCAGCAGUGGGGAAUAUUGCACAAUGGGCGGAAGCCUGAUGCAGCAACGCCGCGUGCGAGAUGACGGCCUUCGGGUGGUAAACCGCUUUCGCCUGUGACGAAGCGUGAGUGACGGUAAUGGGUAAAGAAGCACCGGCUAACUACGU
This 467-nucleotide ribosomal RNA is filed under the name uncultured bacterium. Its description in RNAcentral is "partial 16S ribosomal RNA". It matches the Rfam family "Bacterial small subunit ribosomal RNA", at positions 28 to 506 of the family's 1533-position model. The record is from RNAcentral.